GCGGCGCACCGUACGCACGGGUUUUCCUUGCGUUGCGUGUGGCAAUUUUCUCCUUUUUUUCCACCCCGUAUCACCCCCCCGCAACCGCCUGACCACGUGAAUCCAAGGGAAAAAAUGGGACAGUGAAAAACCGCGAGUCGGUCAAAUCCGCGGGAAAUUUUUCAACCGAGAUUGAUAAAAAUCGUGGCGAACGGGAUAAGACAGCACAAAAAGAAAAUUCAAAGUUGCGAGAAUUUCCUACGAUCUGCUUGAGUGGAAAUCCGAUAUAUUUGCACCGUUCCCGAUGAUUCAAUUAAAUACCGGGGGCCUGACGGAGUGAGAAAACGUCGACAGACGGAGUAAAACACGAGAGGAAAAAGAAACAACGGGAAAGAGAGAAAUAUAAAAAGGAAUAAAAAAAAGCGGGAGAGGAACAAAGGGAAACGGAAGGAAGAGGGACUGGUGUUCCGAGGCGAUGAGGAGCCAAGAAAUUCUUGGAAUUCCAGGGUGACAUUUCCGCUCGGUGGAAUUCAACUUGGCAAUGGGAUAUACCUUCUAUUGAAUUGUAUUGACGACGAAACAAUUAUGUCGGACAUUCAAUACAUAAGAUAUCCCACUCUGCAGCAAUCGAGUGACGAAUUCAAUGCGCCUACAGGACACGUGAACAAGAUGUGGAGUAAUCCAGGAAAUACGUAGGACUGAUCAAUAACGAUGACACGACGCUGAGCGAGAUGAAAGGAGAAAUGAGCAAUUGAGAAUAUCCAAGGAACAGGGAAAAUCUUUUCUAUUUGUUUUGAAGAGGGGGAGAGAGAGUAAUCCACGGUCAGUGUCACUUGGAUAGUCACACUGAGAGCAUUAAUACCCCAGCCACCCACUCACAACCAUCAAAUUCAAGGAGAGCCAGUCAUAUGUGUUCUACAACUACUUUUAAUCCACUUUACACUGACAACUUGAUGACUGCCCAACAGUGAGGGAUUUUUCUCGGAUGGAAAAAGUGCUGGAGAACUUUCAGACUCUCAAAAAAUUUAUCCUGUGAUUUAGUGAAAGUGUUCAGUGAGUUUUUACGGAGUGUUCAUUGUGCUUGUGCUUUUUAUUUUGUGGAACUAUUGAGAUACGAUGCUGAGAUACUUGCUGGUACUUGGGGUGUUGUCCUCUACCUGGGCCAAACCUCACUCCUUGCUGUAUGCUGAUGAC
This is a long non-coding RNA of Fopius arisanus, 1173 nucleotides long. RefSeq lists it as uncharacterized. The record is from RefSeq and is a predicted model, not a curated record. The transcript has 3 exons. NCBI's taxonomy places the organism in Eukaryota, Metazoa, Arthropoda, Insecta, Hymenoptera, Braconidae.